This 1284-nucleotide long non-coding RNA is filed under the name Citrus x clementina. Its description in RNAcentral is "Citrus clementina (C. clementina) long non-coding RNA (CCLE_LNC004853)". The record is from RNAcentral. Lineage: Eukaryota; Viridiplantae; Streptophyta; Magnoliopsida; Sapindales; Rutaceae.
CGCCCCCCACCAAGGCUAUAGCCCACCCGUUUUUUGGCCAUUUUUCCGCUGGGGGGUUUUGGCACCACGACCUUCGGGCGCUUAUUUUUGGGCGCGGCUUUGCCCGCGGCUUAUUUUUGGUGCCCCGAGGCCCUGCGCAAAGUCUCGCCCCAUUCCGAGUCCGGCGGACGAACUUCGCCCGCGCCCCCCACCAAGGCUAUAGCCCACCCGUUUUUUGGCCAUUUUUCCGCUGGGGGGUUUUGGCACCACGACCUUCGGGUGCUUAUUUUUGGACGCGGCUGUGCCCGCGACUUCCCGUGGGCACCCCGAGGCCCCUCGCAAAGUCUCGCCCCAUUCCGAGUCCGGCGGACGAACUUCGCCCGCGCCCCCCACCAAGGCUAUAGCCCACCCGUUUUUUGGCCAUUUUUCCGCUGGGGGGUUUUGGCACCACGACCUUCGGGCGCUUAUUUUUGGGCGCGGCUUUGCCCGCGGCUUAUUUUUGGCGCCCCGAGGCCCUGCGCAAAGUCUCGCCCCAUUCCGAGUCCGGCGGACGAACUUCGCCCGCGCCCCCCACCAAGGCUAUACCCCACCCGUUUUUUGGCCAUUUUUCCACUCGGGGGUUUUGGCACCACCACCUUCGGGCGCUUAUUUUUGGACGCGGCUGUGCCCACGACUUCCCGCGGGCACCCCGAGGCCCCUCGCAAGGUCUCGCCCCAUUUCGAGUCCGGCGGACGAACUUCGCCCGCGCCCCCAACCAAGGCUAUACCCCACCCGUUUUUUGGCCAUUUUUCCGCUGGGGGGUUUUGGCACCACGACCUUCGGGCGCUUAUUUUUGGGCACGGCUUUGCCCGCGGCUUAUUUUUGGCACCCCGAGGCCCCUCGCAAAGUCUCGCCCCAUUCCGAGUCCGGCGGAUGAACUUCGCCCGCGCCCCCCCACCAGGCUAUAGCCCACCCGUUUUUUGGCCAUUUUUCCGCUGGGGGGUUUUGGCACCACGACCUUCGGGCGCUUAUUUUUGGGCGCGGCUGUGCCCGCGACUUGCCGCGGGCACCCCGAGGCCCCUCGCAAAGUCUCGCCCCAUUCCGAGUCCGGCGGACGAACUUCGCCCGCGCCCCCCACCAAGGCUAUAGCCCACCCGUUUUUUGGCUAUUUUUCCGCUGGGGGGUUUUGGCACCACGACCUUCGGGCGCUUAUUUUUGGAUGCGGCUGUGCCCGCGACUUUCCGUGGGCACCUCGAGGCCCCUCGCAAAGUAUCGCCCCAUUCCGAGUCCGGCGGACGAACAUCGCCCACGCCCCCUACCAAGGCU